AAAUCAUGUAUUUGGCAUUUUUUAAUUAAGUCCUUGAAUAGUUCCUAUGCUUCAUAUAGUUUUUCAUCCUCAAAUUGUCGAAAGGACAUGAUAUCAUUCCUCAAGUU
Gossypium arboreum is the source of this 107-nucleotide non-coding RNA. The record is from Rfam. NCBI's taxonomy places the organism in Eukaryota, Viridiplantae, Streptophyta, Magnoliopsida, Malvales, Malvaceae.